Molecule: ribosomal RNA, 508 nt
Filed under: uncultured bacterium
Lineage: Bacteria
Description: partial 16S ribosomal RNA
Rfam family: Bacterial small subunit ribosomal RNA
Source: RNAcentral
AUUGAACGCUGGCGGCAUGCCUUACACAUGCAAGUCGAACGGCAGCGGGGGAGAAGCUUGCUUUUCCUGCCGGCGAGUGGCGGACGGGUGAGUAAUACAUCGGAACGUGCCCUGUAGUGGGGGAUAACUAGUCGAAAGAUUAGCUAAUACCGCAUACGACCUGAGGGUGAAAGUGGGGGACCGCAAGGCCUCAUGCUCUAGGAUCGGCGGAUGUCUGAUUAGCUAGUUGGUGGGGUAAAGGCCCACCAAGCCGACGAUCUGUAGCGGGUAUGAGAGGACGACCAGCCCCACGGGGCCGUGUACACGGCCCAGAGUCCAACGGGAGGCAGCAGUGUGGAAUUGUGGAGAAUGGGCGCAAGCCUGAUCCAGCCAUGCAGCGUGCAGGAUGAAUGACGUCGGGUUGUAAACUACUGUUGUACUGAACGAAAAGGUUUGACUUAAUACGUUGGACUCAUGACGGUACCGUAAGAAUAAGCACCGGCUAACUACGUGCCAGCAGCCGCAGUAA